UUUUUUUUUUUUUUUUUUUUUUUUUUUUUUGGUCUUUUGUCUUUUUAGAGCCACACCCGGGGCAUAGGAAGGUUCCCAGGCUAGGGGGAACAUACUGCAGUGUUGCUGCACCCUAUUUAAAAGUGCCCACCUCUCUCCAUACCUCUCCCAGCUUUUAAGCUGACGGGAAAUGAGACAUGGGGAAUACACCAGGUAGAAAAUGUUUAGUAUAGGAUUGGUGGGACUGCAGAUAAGAAGUGGAAAGCAAGUUGACAGCGAUUGAAGAUAACACACCAAACAAACUACCGCUGCCCUUUGCCUGGUAAGGCUCCAGGCUGCUCCAGGAGCAUCAGAGGUAAUUCAAGGAGGCCUUGCCUGUUGCCCUGGCUCUGAGAUGAAUUAAUGACAGUUCGGAUGUCACCUUGUCACAAGAUGUCGCUGGUCACCCCAUCUAAACCAGCACUUCUGGCAACAUUCCUAUCCCCAACCUCGGCUUUAUUUCUUUAUGGCAUUUAUUGUUACCUGAUAUUAAAUUGUAUCUUUUUUUUUUUUCAUCACUGUCUGUCUCCCCUGCCAAAAAGCAGAAGCUUGUUCAGGGCCCGACUCUGUUUUCUUCACGUCUAUAUUCCCUAUACCUAGAACAGCAUCUAACACAAAACAGGUGGUGAGUGAAUAUCUCUUAAAUGAAUAAUUGAGAUCCAUUUCCUGGAUCAGAAACCUAUUCACGUAGACCCCUUGUUACUAAGUUACCAACAAUGGUUUCUCUUGCCCAAUAGAACAGUAUUGGGUUUAAAGUAAAACACACUUGGAACCUGGCCUCUCUCUGCCAAAACCUGAGGAAAGAUGUGCUUGUAGUAACUAUACUGGGGUAGCAGGUGUACAGUGGGAGCAUCCCAGACAAGCUGGAAGGUAGAGUCGCUUUCACCCUAAAGCAAAACCAGACCUGGGGACAGACACCAUUGACUAUGGUCACUGGACUACUCCAGAUGCAAAGGGCGCAACCUGUUUCUGCAAAAACUGGGCCUAGAAUUAACAGACGUCACCCCGCCUCAGCAGUGACAAAACCAAGAGGCGUGACAUUUCCUUCCCACGGCCGCGAGAGCCCCACCACCACCCGGAGUGCAGGACAAAGUUAAAGUCACCCGGAGGAAAGACCAUGCUAGGGACAGAAACAAAUCAAAACAAAACCAAAAAACAGGUUGGAGGCCCUUAUUUUAGAAGAAAAUGUGCUUGUUGACCAAUAUAUAGAGUAAAACGUUCUCAUGGAACAGAGCUCUAUGAAUCAAAUUAAAAAGAACAUUUUUUAAAAAUUGAAGUCCAGUUGAUUUACAAUAUUUUGUUAGUUUCAGGAAAACAGCAAAGCGAUUUAGUUAUAUAUACAAAUAUAUAUAUCUAUUUUUUCACAGAUUCUUUUCCCUUAAAGGUUAUUAUAAAAUAUUGAGUAUAGUUCCCUGGACCAUAGAGAACAUUUUUUUUUUUUUUUUGUCUUUUUGCCAUUUUCUUGGGCCGCUCUCGCGGCAUAUGGAGGUUCCCAGGCUAGGGGUGGAAUCGGAGCUGUAGCCUCCGGCCUACGCCAGAGCCACAGCAACGCGGUAUCCGAGUCGCGUCUGCGACCUACACCACAGCUCACGGCAACUCCGGAUCGUUAACCCACUGAGCAAGGGCAGGGAUCGAACCCGCAACCUCAUGGUUCCUAGUCGGAUUCGUUAACCACUGCGCCACGACGGGAACUCCCUAUAGAGAACAUUUUUAAAAAUAAAAACAUGUAUCUAACAUC
RNAcentral lists this long non-coding RNA (1756 nucleotides) under Sus scrofa (pig). Its description in RNAcentral is "lncRNA (ENSSSCG00050030612.1)". The record is from RNAcentral. Lineage: Eukaryota; Metazoa; Chordata; Mammalia; Artiodactyla; Suidae.